UGAGGAAUUUUGCGCAAUGGGGGUAACCCUGACGCAGCAACGCCGCGUGAGUGAAGAAGGCCUUCGGGUCGUAAAGCUCUGUCGAGUGGGAAGAACCCGCAUCAGGUGACAAGGCUGAUGCGCUGACGGUACCACUGGAGGAAGCACCGGCUAACUCCGUGCCAGCAGCCGCGGUAAUACGGAGGGUGCAAGCGUUAUUCGGAAUUACUGGGCGUAAAGGGCGCGCAGGCGGCCUGGUAAGUCAGUAGUGAAAGCCCGGGGCUCAACCCCGGAAGUGCUGCUGAAACUGUUGGGCUUGAGUAUGGCAGAGGGAAGCGGAAUUCCUGGUGUAGCGGUGAAAUGCGUAGAUAUCAGGAGGAACACCGGUGGCGAAGGCGGCUUCCUGGACCAAUACUGACGCUGAGGCGCGAAGGCGUGGGUAGCAAACA
RNAcentral lists this ribosomal RNA (428 nucleotides) under uncultured bacterium. RNAcentral's name for it is "bacterial SSU rRNA". It matches the Rfam family "Bacterial small subunit ribosomal RNA", at positions 355 to 774 of the family's 1533-position model. The record is from RNAcentral.